Molecule: transfer RNA, 71 nt
Filed under: Marmota monax (woodchuck)
Lineage: Eukaryota; Metazoa; Chordata; Mammalia; Rodentia; Sciuridae
Description: tRNA.Ala
Rfam family: tRNA (bases 6-66)
About the family: Transfer RNA (tRNA) molecules are approximately 80 nucleotides in length. Their secondary structure includes four short double-helical elements and three loops (D, anti-codon, and T loops).
Source: RNAcentral
GAGGAUAUAACUCAAUAGUAGAGCACUUACCUAGCAUGUUUGAGGCCCUGGGUUCAAUUCCCAGUACUACA